Molecule: transfer RNA, 65 nt
Filed under: Diphyllobothrium schistochilos
Lineage: Eukaryota; Metazoa; Platyhelminthes; Cestoda; Diphyllobothriidea; Diphyllobothriidae
Description: tRNA-Gln
Source: RNAcentral
GUUUAGUAAGGUGUUUUGGCACGCUAUAUUUUGGUUAUAGAGGGUGACUUGUAGUCUACUUUUCU